UGAUAGAAAAUAGGGUGAGGGGUUCUUACCAUAUUUGACAUAGAACUCUUAAUUUUCAUUGCGCCUACGGGCGGUCCCUAGGUUCCAUGAAUUUUUCCUCGGGAACUGAAACGCGCUUAUGGUACCUACACAUGUCCCAAAUAAAAAUCAGACCCAAGGCUUAUUCAGCCAAUUUCAAAAUUCUGGCACAACGGCUCCGCCGUGCUCCGGAGACGGCUCUGC
RNAcentral lists this long non-coding RNA (222 nucleotides) under Carica papaya (papaya). RNAcentral describes it as "long non-coding RNA (CPAP_LNC009152)". The record is from RNAcentral. Lineage: Eukaryota; Viridiplantae; Streptophyta; Magnoliopsida; Brassicales; Caricaceae.